This 762-nucleotide long non-coding RNA is filed under the name Marmota monax (woodchuck). Lineage: Eukaryota; Metazoa; Chordata; Mammalia; Rodentia; Sciuridae. The record is from RNAcentral.
UCAGUAGAAAACAUCACCAAUAGAACUUGGAAGACCACUCGGAAGACAGAACCUCAGACAAUGAAGACAAAACAUAUACUCUUGAAAAUAAAGUUGACUGCACAGAGAAGAUGAUAAGAAAUCAUGAACAGAACUUCCAAGAAAUAUGGGAUAACAUGAAAAGACCAAAUUUAAAUUUAUCAGAAUAGACAAAGACAUGGAGAUACAAACCAAAGAAAUGCACAAUUUUCAAUGACAUAAUAUCAGAAAAUUUCCCAAAUCUAAAGAACGAAAUGGAAAAUCAACUAAAGGACCCCAAAUGUACAAAAUUACAACAGACCCACACCAAGGUACAUUUUAAUGAGAGUGACUAACAUCCAGAAUAAGGGUAGAAUUUUAAAGGCUACAAGAGAAAAAUAUCAGAUUACCUUUGGGGGGGAAUGAAUUUAGGUUUCAGCUGAUUUAUCAAUCCUCAAUGCUGCUUUUGUUCUUCACACAAGUGUGACCUCAUGAAUCUUAUGGGAAAUUCUUGCUUUUUGUCAAAAUUUGAUUGAGGCUCAAAAAUUCCCUUUUCUAUCUCAUAUCUGGAAUUUUCUGUCUCCUUUAGGGGAUAAAAGUAUUAUUAAAUGCUUGGUUUAAAGUGUCUUGCUCUUAGUCAUCUUUUUUUAACAGGUUAUCAAAGUUUCCAUUUAAAACAAGAUCAUUAAUGUUGACAUUUUAAAUUCAUAUUUAAUAUGACAUACUUGUAUCUUAAGUUUUUAAUAGUUUUCUUUUUCCAAAAGU